Molecule: non-coding RNA, 23 nt
Filed under: Arabidopsis thaliana (thale cress)
Lineage: Eukaryota; Viridiplantae; Streptophyta; Magnoliopsida; Brassicales; Brassicaceae
Source: RNAcentral
GCCUCGUUCAGUUGCUAUGCGUC